GUCGAACGGUAGCAGGAAGUGCUUGCACUUCGCUGACGAGUGGCGGACGGGUGAGUAAUGCUUGGGAACUUGCCUUUAGGUGGGGGAUAACAGUUGGAAACGACUGCUAAUACCGCAUAAUGUCUACGGACCAAAGGGGGCUUCGGCUCCCGCCUUGAGAGAGGCCCAAGUGAGAUUAGCUAGUUGGUGGGGUAAAGGCCUACCAAGGCAACGAUCUCUAGCUGUUCUGAGAGGAAGAUCAGCCACACUGGGACUGAGACACGGCCCAGACUCCUACGGGAGGCAGCAGUGGGGAAUAUUGCACAAUGGGGGAAACCCUGAUGCAGCCAUGCCGCGUGUGUGAAGAAGGCCUUCGGGUUGUAAAGCACUUUCAGUUGUGAGGAAAGGUUGGUAGUUAAUACCUGCCAGCUGUGACGUUAACAACAGAAGAAGCACCGGCUAACUCCGUGCCAGCAGCCGCGGUAAUACGGAGGGUGCGAGCGUUAAUCGGAAUUACUGGGCGUAAAGCGCACGCAGGCGGCUUGUUAAGCUAGAGGUGAAAGCCCCGCGCUCAACGUGGGAACUGCCUUUAGAACUGGCAGGCUAGAGUCUUGGAGAGGGGAGUGGAAUUCCAGGUGUAGCGGUGAAAUGCGUAGAUAUCUGGAGGAACAUCAGUGGCGAAGGCGGCUCCCUGGCC
RNAcentral lists this ribosomal RNA (676 nucleotides) under Alteromonadaceae bacterium GUDS1228. RNAcentral describes it as "bacterial SSU rRNA". It matches the Rfam family "Bacterial small subunit ribosomal RNA", at positions 61 to 734 of the family's 1533-position model. Lineage: Bacteria; Pseudomonadati; Pseudomonadota; Gammaproteobacteria; Alteromonadales; Alteromonadaceae. The record is from RNAcentral.